GAUGAACGCUGGCGGCGUGCCUAAUACAUGCAAGUCGAGCGAACAGACGAGGAGCUUGCUCCUCUGACGUUAGCGGCGGACGGGUGAGUAACACGUGGAUCACCUACCUAUAAGACUGGGAUAACUUCGGGAAACCGGAGCUAAUACCGGAUAAUAUAUUGAACCGCAUGGUUCAAUAGUGAAAGACGGUUUUGCUGUCACUUAUAGAUGGAUCCGCGCCGGAUUAGCUAGUUGGUAAGGUAACGGCUUACCAAGGCGACGAUGCGUAGCCGACCUGAGAGGAUGAUCGGCCACACUGGAACUGAGACACGGUCCAGACUCCUACGGGAGGCAGCAGUAGGGAAUAUUCCGCAAUGGGCGAAAGCCUGACGGAGCAACGCCGCGUGAGUGAUGAAGGUCUUCGGAUCGUAAAACUCUGUUAUUAGGGAAGAACAGAUGUGGAAGUAACUAUGCACGUCUUGACGGUACCUAAUCAGAAAGCCACGGCUAACUACGUG
This 497-nucleotide ribosomal RNA is filed under the name uncultured bacterium. Its description in RNAcentral is "partial 16S ribosomal RNA". It matches the Rfam family "Bacterial small subunit ribosomal RNA", at positions 28 to 507 of the family's 1533-position model. The record is from RNAcentral.